CAGUAGCCGCGGGAAUACGAAGGGUGCAAGCGUUACUCGGAAUUACUGGGCGUAAAGCGUGCGUAGGUGGUGGUUUAAGUCCGUUGUGAAAGCCCUGGGCUCAACCUGGGAAUUGCAGUGGAUACUGGAUCACUAGAGUGUGGUAGAGGAUAGUGGAAUUUCCGGUGUAGCAGUGAAAUGCGUAGAGAUCGGAAGGAACAUCUGUGGCGAAGGCGACUAUCUGGGCCAACACUGACACUGAGGCACGAAAGCGUGGGGAGCAAACAGGAUUAGAUACCCCAGUAGUCCCUGUCUCUUAUAC
This 301-nucleotide ribosomal RNA is filed under the name uncultured bacterium. RNAcentral describes it as "partial 16S ribosomal RNA". It matches the Rfam family "Bacterial small subunit ribosomal RNA", at positions 509 to 807 of the family's 1533-position model. The record is from RNAcentral.